CACGUAGGGUGCGAGCGUUGUCCGGAAUUAUUGGGCGUAAAGAGCUCGUAGGCGGUGUGUCGCGUCGGCCGUGAAAACCUGCAGCUUAACUGUGGGCUUGCGGUCGAUACGGGCAUCACUGGAGUUCGGCAGGGGAGACUGGAAUUCCUGGUGUAGCGGUGAAAUGCGCAGAUAUCAGGAGGAACACCGGUGGCGAAGGCGGGUCUCUGGGCCGAUACUGACGCUGAUGCACGAAAGCGUGGGGAGCAAACAGG
RNAcentral lists this ribosomal RNA (254 nucleotides) under uncultured bacterium. RNAcentral's name for it is "partial 16S ribosomal RNA". It matches the Rfam family "Bacterial small subunit ribosomal RNA", at positions 524 to 776 of the family's 1533-position model. The record is from RNAcentral.